Molecule: small nucleolar RNA, 107 nt
Organism: Sorghum bicolor (sorghum)
Lineage: Eukaryota; Viridiplantae; Streptophyta; Magnoliopsida; Poales; Poaceae
Rfam family: Plant small nucleolar RNA R71
About the family: R71 is a member of the C/D box family of snoRNAs containing the C (UGAUGA) and D (CUGA) box motifs. Multiple nearly identical copies of this snoRNA have been identified in Arabidopsis, and it is thought to function as a 2'-O-ribose methylation guide for 18S ribosomal RNA.
Source: Rfam
UUCCAUGAUGAGGACAAUCUUAAAUGUAUCCUUGCAAACACUCCCAUGCUUCUAAAAUGGUUUUUGUGUUCUGUUGUUGGAAGCUGGUAAUCUUUCCUCUUAAGGCA